RNAcentral lists this ribosomal RNA (619 nucleotides) under uncultured archaeon. Its description in RNAcentral is "bacterial SSU rRNA". It matches the Rfam family "Archaeal small subunit ribosomal RNA", at positions 52 to 670 of the family's 1478-position model. The record is from RNAcentral.
UGCGAGUCAUAUGUUCUUCGUGAACAUGGCGUACUGCUCAGUAACACGUGGAUAACCUGCCCUUGGGACCGGGAUAACCCCGGGAAACUGGGGAUAAUACCGGAUAACGCAUAUCUGCUGGAAUGCUUUAUGCGUAAAAUGGAUUUGUCUGCCCAAGGAUGGGUCUGCGGCCUAUCAGGUAGUAGUGGGUGUAAUGUACCUACUAGCCUACGACGGGUACGGGUUGUGAGAGCAAGAGCCCGGAGAUGGAUUCUGAGACAUGAAUCCAGGCCCUACGGGGCGCAGCAGGCGCGAAAACUUUACAAUGCGGGAAACCGUGAUAAGGGGACACCGAGUGCCAGCAUCAUAUGUUGGCUGUCCAGAUGUGUAAAAUACAUCUGUUAGCAAGGGCUGGGCAAGACCGGUGCCAGCCGCCGCGGUAACACCGGCGGCCCGAGUGGUGAUCGUGAUUAUUGGGUCUAAAGGGUCCGUAGCCGGUUUGGUCAGUCCUCCGGGAAAUCUGACGGCUCAACCGUUAGGCUUUCGGUGGAUACUGCCAGACUUGGAACCGGGAGAGGUAAGAGGUACUACAGGGGUAGGAGUGAAAUCUUGUAAUCCCUGUGAGACCACCUGUGGCGAA